RNAcentral lists this transfer RNA (69 nucleotides) under Rattus norvegicus (Norway rat). It matches the Rfam family "tRNA". Rfam says of the family: Transfer RNA (tRNA) molecules are approximately 80 nucleotides in length. Their secondary structure includes four short double-helical elements and three loops (D, anti-codon, and T loops). Further hydrogen bonds mediate the characteristic L-shaped molecular structure. tRNAs have two regions of fundamental functional importance: the anti-codon, which is responsible for specific mRNA codon recognition, and the 3' end, to which the tRNAs corresponding amino acid is attached (by aminoacyl-tRNA synthetases). tRNAs cope with the degeneracy of the genetic code in two manners: having more than one tRNA (with a specific anti-codon) for a particular amino acid; and 'wobble' base-pairing, i.e. permitting non-standard base-pairing at the 3rd anti-codon position. Lineage: Eukaryota; Metazoa; Chordata; Mammalia; Rodentia; Muridae. The record is from Rfam by way of RNAcentral.
GGAGAUUUAGCUCAGUGGUAGAGCGCUUGCCUAUCAGGCGUAAGGCCCUGGGUUCGGUCCCCAGCUCUG